Long non-coding RNA from Raphanus sativus (radish), 950 nucleotides. RefSeq lists it as uncharacterized. NCBI's taxonomy places the organism in Eukaryota, Viridiplantae, Streptophyta, Magnoliopsida, Brassicales, Brassicaceae. The transcript is spliced from 6 exons. The record is from RefSeq and is a predicted model, not a curated record.
UUGAUUUUGCAAAGAUCACAACUGAGAAGACGUAUGCAGAUCGUAGUGAAAAGCGGUAGCAUUUAUUGAACAAUUCUUUUUUUCAAUCGAUUUAUGUUUUUGGUGCUUUUUAGGUUUUAUUUUAGUAUUAGAUACUGAUAGUUCUUGAUCUAAAUCAUGUAGAACGGAACACCGAUCAAGCAAAUACACUAACCGUAUAAGCUCUGAUUAUAAAAACCCAACUUCAUACAAACCGGAUUCAGAGGAAAAGAUGAACUCAGAACAUCCAAGAGGAUUUGAUCUAGUUGGAAUAACAUGCAAAGAUAUGGUAGUCGCAUUGAUGAAUCUGUUUCUCUCGGUCAGAAGUUAUAGUCAAGCGAUCAAAGGAGCAAGGAUAAAAUCUUUUGAUUAAGCAGAUGAUACUGAAAUGAUAAAGUUCUGAAAUUCUGUUAUGGUUUGUACGUAUAGGAGCUGUCCAAGGUUUUAGAUAUAACCAAGAUGAAACUACAGAUCACAAAUUUUACCAACUGGAAUAAAAAACGUUUGGUCUACCAGGACCCACUCAAGAGAAUCUCCUCCAAAACUGGUGCUUUGUUUCCAGGCAUGAAGCAGUUUGAGAGUUACUCGCCAUUCAUCUUUAUUAGAAAACAGAUGGAAUAAGGGAAGACAUUUAUUUAGUCACCUUUUACGUGGGGAGAAAGCUAGAGUCAAAGAAAUGGUAAUAUUUCAUCUGUUAGAUGGGAUAAGAUAUUUUGCGUAUCAAAUUUUUAAUUAGCUUACAUGAUAAGAUUUGAGCUAUAGAUUUACUAAUUUACAUUUUCUAUUCGAUGGGCUAUAGCAUAAACGGGUCUCUUUGGGCCUGAGAAGAAAUUGAUGUCGAUUAUGCUAAGAUGAAAAACGUGAAGUUAUCACUUAUAGUUAUACAUGCUUCCAAACAAAAUGUAAACUCUUUUUUUAAUCUCCUAUCUAAA